AGUGAACGCUGGCGGUAGGCCUAACACAUGCAAGUCGAACGGCAGCACAGAGGAGCUUGCUCCUUGGGUGGCGAGUGGCGGACGGGUGAGGAAUACAUCGGAAUCUACUCUGUCGUGGGGGAUAACGUAGGGAAACUUACGCUAAUACCGCAUACGACCUACGGGUGAAAGCAGGGAACCUUCGGGCCUUGCGCGAUUGAAUGAGCCGAUGUCGGAUUAGCUAGUUGGCGGGGUAAAGGCCCACCAAGGCGACGAUCCGUAGCUGGUCUGAGAGGAUGAUCAGCCACACUGGAACUGAGACACGGUCCAGACUCCUACGGGAGGCAGCAGUGGGAAUAUUGGACAAUGGGCGCAAGCCUGAUCCAGCCAUACCGCGUGGGUGAAGAAGGCCUUCGGGUUGUAAAGCCCUUUUGUUGGGAAAGAAAUCCAGCUGGCUAAUACCCGGUUGGGAUGACGGUACCCAAAGAAUAAGCACCGGCUAACUUCGUGCCAGCCGCCGCGGUAA
This 505-nucleotide ribosomal RNA is filed under the name uncultured bacterium. RNAcentral's name for it is "partial 16S ribosomal RNA". It matches the Rfam family "Bacterial small subunit ribosomal RNA", at positions 29 to 523 of the family's 1533-position model. The record is from RNAcentral.